This 263-nucleotide small RNA is filed under the name Histoplasma capsulatum. RNAcentral's name for it is "hypothetical RNA". The record is from RNAcentral. Lineage: Eukaryota; Fungi; Ascomycota; Eurotiomycetes; Onygenales; Ajellomycetaceae.
AGUUAUUGCAUAUAAAUAUUUGCCUACAUAGCACUGUUCAGCUUUUGUAUUUCUUUUCUAGAACUUCCGUUAUCGCCAGUCCCGCGAGCUCGGCAAUAGAAAAAAGAUGACCUGGGAAACAAAUUUCAUCCCGAUGUAGUGGGUAGUAGUAGUCGUAGUAGUAGUAGUCCGUAACUUCUACACACCAGGACCUGGUAAGUCCAAAAGAUGGAAAUGUAAAUCUCAAUAUCAGAGCUCAAAAAAAAAAAAAAAAAAAAAACCGG